UACGUAGGGGGCAAGCGUUGUCCGGAAUUAUUGGGCGUAAAGAGCGUGUAGGCGGCCAGAUAAGUCCGCUGUGAAAUCUCGAGGCUCAACUUCGAGCUGUCGGUGGAAACUAUCUGGCUAGAGUCCGGAAGAGGAGAAUGGAAUUCCUGGUGUAGCGGUGAAAUGCGCAGAUAUCAGGAAGAACACCCGUGGCGAAGGCGGUUCUCUGGGACGGUUUCUGACGCUAAGACGCGAAAGCGUGGGGAGCAAACAGG
Molecule: ribosomal RNA, 254 nt
Filed under: uncultured bacterium
Lineage: Bacteria
Description: partial 16S ribosomal RNA
Rfam family: Bacterial small subunit ribosomal RNA
Source: RNAcentral